Molecule: long non-coding RNA, 5540 nt
Organism: Bactrocera dorsalis (oriental fruit fly)
Lineage: Eukaryota; Metazoa; Arthropoda; Insecta; Diptera; Tephritidae
Gene: boi
Product: interference hedgehog
Exons: 11
Source: RefSeq, a predicted model, not a curated record
CAGCGGCCAGCAACCAGCCGGUUCAACGAGUUUUUCUUCGAUUGCUUGCGGCCGGUCGCGCUCGCUCCCACCGCUCACAGCCGGUGAAUGUGUCAGUGGAAUUGAGUUGAUCGGUCUGUGUUGUCUGCCGCGGCGAUUUAGUUCAGUUUGAGACACUUGGUGAGUUGGAUGUGCGCGCGUAUGAAAUUCACGUCACGUCCGUGACAACACAACAGUCAACCAAACUUACACGGGUGCGGGCUAAAUGCAUUGAAGCGGAUGUUUUUGUGUCGCUCUAAACAACAACUAAAACGCCAAUAAAUAUGAAAAUGAGACUUGCCUUUAAUACUGUGCGCGCCCACCGUUGCAUUUCGUUUUGUGAAAGAAAUUUCUUCUAAUUUCUGUUUUAUAGAUCUUUCAGCAACGUUUUCGUAAAUAAGAUACUCAAAAAAACGGCGACUAAUCUCUAAUAAUAAUGGCAUUAAAACGUCUAUAGCCCACAGUGAUAGGUAAAAGAUCAGCAUACAAGUACAAAAAAUAAUAAAAAAAUUACAAAUAAAAAAAUCUGAAAUUUCGUGAGGAAAUUUGUGAAAUAAAUCGAUAAAAAAUACUCCAGCUACUUUUACCAGCUUUUUUUUUAAUAUAAUAUAAUACUUUUGUGUUGGUGUGUGAGCAGCGAAAGAUACCUGCCAAGUGCAAGUGUACUUGAAAAAAUUGUGAAGGAACGCAUGCGCAACCCCCAAAUGGCUGCGCUGCGCUUCUGCUGUUGCAAGGGUUAAUUGAAACAUUAUCAAACGUAGCAGAAAAACAGUGAAAUAUUUUGCAGUUAAAGUGCCACAAAUCUAUAGCAAAAGUAUAGCAGGCUUGCAAAACAACGCUGCAGCGUAAACAGGGACUUGAAAAAAACUUAUUAAGGAUCGUACGAUUCGAACAGCCGGUUGUUAAUCUUAGCCAAAAGUAAAUCAUCUAGUAUGUGUUCCCAGCAUUUCUGCAGCUAAAACGUGUACUCACACUGUGCAACAGUAACAACAACAGCGAUCGAUCGUUUUUAGAAAAUAAUACCAAGCCUUAUACAUCCGGUUUUAGAGCACCAGUUUGGCGUUGGGCCAUGGCGAAUCACGCAACAUUCUCAUCUGCUGCAACAUCAGGAAUAACUGGCUCUUGGCAGCUGUCAUUCUUGUUGAGUUUACUUAUAUGUAAUCAACUAAAGCUAUCCGCGGCAUCACAAUCCUCGUCACUGGGUGUACACAUUGUGCGUUCUCCCGAAUCAGCAGUGGCGCCCAAAGGUGAUGAGGUUGUUUUUGAGUGCGAAUUAAAUUUGGCUCCCGACCGUUUGGAAUGGCGGUUCCGUCACACCAGCGCACGUGCCACGGACGCUAUGAACUACAAUUAUCUUCAUGGCGGCGAGGAUGGACACAAUAUUGUAAAUGAAAACCUGACAUCUCGUUUGCGUGUAUUUGUCUCGUCCGAAACUUUGGGUGACUACCAAUGUGUGGCCUGGGUCGGAUCGGCCGCAAUUGCUUCCACACCCGCACGGCUGACACUCGUAUCCAUAAGCAUCGACAACUCGAACGGUUAUAGUCGCAAUGCAAUACGCUGGAGCGUAGCGCCAAAGAAUUGCAUAUUAAUACGUUGCGGCACAGUGAGUUCGAAUCCGCCAGCGGUGUGGAGCUUCUUCCGCAACGGCGAGAAAGUGCCACAGACCGAGGUGUUGCCCUCAGCAAAUGGAGCGCUCAUACUUAACACAGUGUCAUCAAAAGAUUCCGGUAACUACACUUGCUCGGCAAUGAAUGCCAUCACUGGCGUGGAGGUGAGAUUGCCACAACGUAUAGACUUGCGCGUCGAUUAUAUUGAUCGCACGCCGCCCUACUUCCUUAAUGUGCCAGUGUCACAAGUGACGGCGCGUCCGGGCGAAACAGCCGUACUCGAAUGCCCAGGCGUCGGUUCGCCACCACCGGAGGCCGUUUGGAGCAGCCCGAAUGUAAUUAACAUCUACAACAACCGAACAAAAGUGUUGCCGUACGGUUUGCAGAUAUCUGAUGUGAUGCCCGAGGAUCAGGGUUCAUAUGUGUGUCGCUUAGACAAUGGUAUUGCGCCUGCUUUGGUGCAAAUUAUAAAAUUUAUUGUCUUGGAAGCGCCACAAAUACUGCGUGGUCCAGCAAAGACAAGAACAAAUGAAGGCGAUCAACUGGAAUUGGAGUGCUCGGCAGCCGGCAAUCCUUUUCCCCAGAUCUAUUGGUUAAUUAAUGGUGAAGACACUUCUUUGGAUAACGAGACCUUUCAUGAAGACCGUCGUUUGGUUAUCCGGCAUGUACAGAAGCGCCAUGCGGGCAUCGUGCAGUGUUUUGCAAAGAACGAAGUGGGCGAGGUAAGCGACGGCAGUUACUUGGAAGUGAACCCGAAGCAAAUACAGGGCGAAGACUCAGCUCCUCUAGGCUCCGUGCCAAUACGCAUGCCUUAUGAGCACACCGGCAACAAAAACAAGGGCAAACGGAAACACAUGAAAAUACUCAACAUGAUUCCUCCCUCUCGUCCCAACGUGACGCGACUGUCCGACGAUUCGGUCAUGUUGCGCUGGUAUGUGCCAAAGAACGACGGGCUGCCCAUACAGUUUUUCAAGGUGCAGUAUCGCAUGCUCGGUGACUCGAGUCGCAAAAUACCGCGCGAAAAUUGGCAGACCACAAACGAAGACAUACCAUACGGCAAACGCGACCGUGUUUUUGAAGGCGUGAAGAAUUUCACCUCAUCGGUAUCCGGCUUGAAACCUGAUCGAUUCUACCGUUUCCGCAUCAUCGCUGUUUACUCGAACAACGACAAUAAGGAGGGCAACACCUCAGCGAAGUUCUUUUUGCAAAGUAGCGAAGCUUUAGGCCCCACCAAAGCCACUUUGCCCGCGCCAGAGCUGUUGCGCGUGGAACCGCUUUCAGAGACUGCAGUUAUGAUACAUUGGACGCUGCCGGCGAAUCCUAUAAACGUGCCGGAUGGUUUUUACGCCUACUACCGGCUCGCCUCUUCAGCGGGUGAAUACCUCAAAGCGACUGUAGACGGUCAACAUACACGGAAAUUUAAAAUCGACCUGUUGGAAGCGGGCACCGCCUACGAGUUCAAGCUGCAGUCCUUUAAUGCACUGGCUGCGUCUGAGUUCAGCGCCAUAUUGCAGGGCAAAACGAAGAAAGUGGCAACCACACCAAUGCCUGUGCCAGCAGUCACGCCUAUAAACACCAAGGAGCACGACAAGCCGAAAUAUCCGAUAGUGGCGGGCAUCGCCGGCUGCGGUAUACUCCUCAUCGUAGCCAUAGUCGCUGCCUUCCUGUGCAUGAAGCGACGCAGCCCGGCGACACCAGAAGAUGAAGACAAACCACAGCUAGACCACAUACAGGCCGAUUUUGUGACACCCUCAGUGCUGGGCGUGGCGGCGCAUCACAAGUCCGGUCACCGUCUCAACGGCGUCAUACCGCGCAUGAACAUCACGCCCAAUCCGUUGGCGCAGGAAGCCGACAAGAAUCGCAACAACGUGAUGGAGCUGCGCUUCCUGCCCAACAGCAACAGCAACAGCAGCCACACGGGUUCAAGUCCCAACAAUUCAGCCAGUGCCAGCAAUUUAAACACGACCCGUCCGCAUACCAGCAGCAGCCAUAGUUUACACCAGCAACAAACUGUCGCCACCAAUGCGGACGAAGCCGAGCCGUACACACCGCCACCGCGCUCCUCUUCCUCCUGUGAGACGCUCGAAGCCAGCGAGGGCAUCUUUAGUGCAAACGACGCCACUUCGCCACUGUCGAAGCCGUUGCCGCCGCUGCCGAACCAGAAGCCUCAUACACACCACAACCAACAGCCGCAGCUGCAGCCGCACCACCAACCGUCGCAUACAACCCUACCGAAAAUGACCAGUAAUAAAGCUCAAGCAGGCACCGCGCCAAACGCAGUAAUAACAAAUGCAAAUCAUGCCACUGCUCAUUACAAUCACAACACCAAUGCCAUGCAUUUGCACACGAAAUCGAGCUCGUCUCAUUCAUCCACCUCAUCCUUUCAAUCUUUACAUAAUUCACAGGCACAUCUGGGCUCGCAUCAGGGCCUACACCACGCACAGCCAUACCAUCCACCGCCGCCCGGCACGCCCACACUAAUGCACAAACGCGGCGACUACAUGCCACACCAUCAUCAUCAUGCCAACGCAUCGUCUGCCGGCCAACAUCCGCCGCCGGUGCCACCACACCAGAACAACAACCACAGCGGCCACCACAACGCGCACCAUCUGUACCAGCAACACCAGCAGCAGCAUGCGCAGGCGCAAUCGCCGCAGACGCCCGCCAUGGAGCAACAGCGCCGCACACUGGAGCGCAGUGCGCGCAAUCUGCACUACACGGCGACCGCGGUGCCGGCGAACGCGACGCAGCCACACGACGCGGCCAUGAACAUCGAUGGCCUGCCCACGCGCAUACCGUCGCUGCGCCGCACACGACGCUCCUCCGGCAACACCAACAACAACAACGGCGGCGUAGGCAUACCCAUCGUGCCGGGUAGUCCGCGCGUGCAGCGCUCGCCGAUGCCGGCGCGCGCCAUGAUGAAGCGCGGUCGGCUGGGCAGCCACAACGACAACAUGUCCUCGGGCAGUUUGAACAGUAUUGAGGUGUAGGCAGCAAACAGGUAUUGGGAAUGCGUGCGCUUCGCAUAAGUAGUGUUAAGCUCUAGUAUAGUAGGGGAGGCUAGCAAGUAUGCAACUAUCUAGACACAGACAUAGGUCUAGGGAGUACAACGGUACUUCAGUGGGUAUUGUUUAAAUUGUUUAAAAUUAAAAUUCGUUAUAUAACUAAGAAUAAGUCAACUGAAUGCAGUCUUGAUUGACUUAAAUUGUAAAUAUUUAUUGCUAGAACUGCAUCAGACUUUUCUAGACCAGUCUAGGAAACAGUUAGAACUAAGACAAAAUGUAUGGCAUAGUUUUAAGUAAUAUCUCGAAUAUGCAAGUAAGUAACUCGAAAAACUCGAUUAUCUGCAUACUUUUAGGCUGAGUUCCUUAUAGUGCCUUGUUAUGUAACACUUAGUAAUACCACAUAAAGACUUAACGGAACUAACUCCAAUGACAGUUGUAGUUGUAUUAGCUUUGAAUACGAAAUGACAUCCACUAGUAAUAUGACUAACUUAAACUAACUAAUUAGUUUGGCGUUAACUCCGUCCUGCAGGGCUAACAAGAAGUAAGAUAAAAUAUAUUGAAAAAAAAUAAAAGACUUAGAAACCGCUAUUUGUGAGUCUAUCAGCAUGAAGGUUGAUUCAAAAAAUAUUUUUUUUGAAAAAGCGCCUAAAAAUAUGCAACUUUCAAAAUUGUACUGUUGACUUAGUUUUGAGUUUUCGAAGUUUACAGUUUGACUAAAUAGCUUUUUUAUUGUUUUAAAUUAUUUAAAAUAUAAUUUUCGUGCUUCCUACAGUUUUUGACUGCACUUUAUUUGUACGUUACUGUACAUUUUUAGUAUUCGUUUAUAAGUUCAAUAUUACAUACAUUUAAUUUAUUAAAAAUCGACCUUAAUUGCCUUACCUUUAUUUGACUAAAUGUUAAUCGUAAUUUU